RNAcentral lists this ribosomal RNA (230 nucleotides) under uncultured bacterium. Its description in RNAcentral is "partial 16S ribosomal RNA". It matches the Rfam family "Bacterial small subunit ribosomal RNA", at positions 28 to 259 of the family's 1533-position model. The record is from RNAcentral.
GACGAACGCUGGCGGCGUGCUUAACACAUGCAAGUCGAGCGGUAAGGCCCUUUCGGGGGUACACGAGCGGCGAACGGGUGAGUAACACGUGGGUGACCUGCCCUCAGCUCUGGGAUAAGCCUGGGAAACCGGGUCUAAUACUGGAUAUGACUCCAUGACGCAUGUUGUGGGGUGGAAAGCCUUGUGCGGCUGAGGAUGGGCCCGCGGCCUAUCAGCUUGUUGGUGGGGUA